This is a long non-coding RNA of Bombina bombina (fire-bellied toad), 272 nucleotides long. RefSeq lists it as uncharacterized. The transcript is spliced from 5 exons. The record is from RefSeq and is a predicted model, not a curated record. Lineage: Eukaryota; Metazoa; Chordata; Amphibia; Anura; Bombinatoridae.
GGAAGGUUCUAUAGUGUUAUAUUACAGUCUCCAGUAGGUUGCGGUGCGGGAUUGCUGGUCUGUCAGACAUGGAGUCCCAACUGGAGAUGUACAAAGUCACUUGCGCUAUCCCUGGCUUUUCAGUCAUGAUUUCUGAUGUAGAAGUGUUUGAAAUUUACCACCAGAGGGCCAUGAACAGGUGAUGUGCUGCACCAGUGUUUGGUGUAAGAUCAUGCCUGGUUGAAGAUGGAAGUACAGGUCAUUUAAGGACUGAAGAAAUUUCCCAGAUGUAG